CUCACUUUGGCAGAACAUAUACAAAAAUUGCAUCAGUACAGAGCAGCUUAAAGUGGUCCCAAACAAGAAUGACAUACAAAUUCGUGAAGCAUUGGUCCAUAUUUUU
Molecule: small nuclear RNA, 106 nt
Filed under: Cervus elaphus hippelaphus
Lineage: Eukaryota; Metazoa; Chordata; Mammalia; Artiodactyla; Cervidae
Source: RNAcentral